AUGGUACAAAGUGGCUGCAAACCCCAUCUAGCAAGCAAAAAUCACACAAAACAUAAUGCAAGAAAUGAAGCAAGCAAGAAAGAUGAUGACCAAUGUGAAGCCGACAAAACUUACAUGGCUAUUGACUCCAAUACCACUUUGGUGCCUAUUCACCACUUGUGCAUAGAAACUUCAAACCUUGUUCACAAACUCUUGGAUUGCAGACCAUCUACAUUGGAGACAACACUCCUUGCGAGUGGUGGAUUGGAUGCGGCUCCACGUAGUGCUUGUGUUCAACGUACCAUGGGUGGAUGUUUUACCAAUACUAGGAGCCCUUUUACUCGGUUCCACAUAUAUGAUCCAUGUUUGUGCCCAGCUAAGCAUUACAGAACAAGGCAUUUUCAUGGGUUGAGUAAGCAUUUUCUCUUGCCUUCACCUUCUUUUUUUGAGUGCUCGAUGAUUUCCCAACAUCAAACAUAG
This 459-nucleotide ribosomal RNA is filed under the name Triticum aestivum (bread wheat). Its description in RNAcentral is "partial small subunit ribosomal RNA". The record is from RNAcentral. Lineage: Eukaryota; Viridiplantae; Streptophyta; Magnoliopsida; Poales; Poaceae.